RNAcentral lists this ribosomal RNA (368 nucleotides) under Vibrio harveyi. RNAcentral's name for it is "bacterial SSU rRNA". It matches the Rfam family "Bacterial small subunit ribosomal RNA", at positions 64 to 415 of the family's 1533-position model. Lineage: Bacteria; Pseudomonadati; Pseudomonadota; Gammaproteobacteria; Vibrionales; Vibrionaceae. The record is from RNAcentral.
GAGCGGAACGAGUUAUCUGAACCUUCGGGGAACGAUAAACGGCGUCGAGCGGCGGACGGGUGAGUAAUGCCUAGGAAAUUGCCCUGAUGUGGGGGGAUAACCAUUGGAAACGAUGGCUAAUACCGCAUAAUGCCUACGGGCCAAAGAGGGGGACCUUCGGGCCUCUCGCGUCAGGAUAUGCCUAGGUGGGAUUAGCUAGUUGGUGAGGUAAGGGCUCACCAAGGCGACGAUCCCCUAGCUGGUCUGAGAGGAUGAUCAGCCACACUGGAACUGAGACACGGUCCAGACUCCUACGGGAGGCAGCAGUGGGGAAUAUUUGCACAAUGGGCGCAAGCCUGAUGCAGCCAUGCCGCGUGUGUGAAGAAGGC